UGGCUCAGUGGUAGAGCACUUGCCUUGCAUGCAUGAUGCCCUGAGUUCAAUUCCUCAG
Molecule: transfer RNA, 58 nt
Filed under: Dipodomys ordii (Ord's kangaroo rat)
Lineage: Eukaryota; Metazoa; Chordata; Mammalia; Rodentia; Heteromyidae
Rfam family: tRNA
About the family: Transfer RNA (tRNA) molecules are approximately 80 nucleotides in length. Their secondary structure includes four short double-helical elements and three loops (D, anti-codon, and T loops).
Source: Rfam by way of RNAcentral